This 318-nucleotide ribosomal RNA is filed under the name uncultured fungus. RNAcentral's name for it is "SSU rRNA". It matches the Rfam family "Eukaryotic small subunit ribosomal RNA", at positions 1344 to 1680 of the family's 1831-position model. Lineage: Eukaryota; Fungi. The record is from RNAcentral.
UAACCUACUAAAUAGCCAGGCCCGCUUUUGCGGGUCGCAGGCUUCUUAGAGGGACUAUCGGAUCACAAGUCGAUGGAAGUUUGAGGCAAUAACAGGUCUGUGAUGCCCUUAGAUGUUCUGGGCCGCACGCGCGCUACACUGACAGAGUCAACGAGUACAUCUCCCUUGGCCGGAAGGCCCGGGUAAUCUUGUUAAACUCAUGUCGUGCUGGGGAUAGAGCAUUGCAAUUAUCGCUCUUCAACGAGGAAUUCCUAGUAAGCGCAAGUCAUCAGCUUGCGUUGAUUACGUCCCUGCCCUUUGUACACACCGCCCGUCGCU